Nycticebus coucang (slow loris) is the source of this 848-nucleotide RNA transcript. RefSeq lists it as uncharacterized. Lineage: Eukaryota; Metazoa; Chordata; Mammalia; Primates; Lorisidae. The transcript has a single exon. The record is from RefSeq and is a predicted model, not a curated record.
GCCUGGGAGGUGGCCAAGGCCUUCAUGCCCCGAGGACUGACAGACAAAUGAGGACUCAAGGAAUGUGAGGUAGUUGCUCUUUUAAGUCUUUUCAACUCCUGCGAUCAUUUUGUGAUUGAUCGAAGAAAAGUCACAGAGUUGAUUAAGUGUCAUAAUGAUAUAAUGCACUCUUCAGAAAAGAAAGUAUCUUCUACAUGGUUUCCAGAUUUUCAGAUGAAGAUCCAAAAUUUUCUGAAUGAAUUCAACAAUAUCCCAGAAAUUGUGGCAGUAUACUUCAGAACAGAACAGCUAUUGACGUCUGACUGGGCUGUUCACAUCCCUGAGGAAGAUCAACAAGAUGGGUAUGAAUGUGAAACAGAAACCUACCUGUGUGAGAGCCAAAUCAAUGAAAUAGAAAUGCAGUUACUAAAGGAAAAACUUCAAGAGAUGUACCUUCAAGCAGAAGAACAAGAGAUGUCGCCUGAAGAGAUCUCAAAUCAACCGAAAGUGGUGACGGAAUUUCUGAGAAACAAUGAGGAUCUUAGAAAUGGUCUUACAGUAGAUAUGCAGAAGCUAGACAGCCUCUGUUGGCAACAUCAAAAACUGGAUUCAAAGGAACCUGGGAGACAGACACCUGAAAGGAAGGCCUGAGGUUGCCCUUUGAGAAAAAUCAGACAUGUUUGUAAAAGUCAGCAUGGCUUCCAUCUCAGAUGCAAGAGGAAAAAGUUACCAGAUGAUUGUACCCAAAUAAAAGGAAAUUUUUGUUGUUUUGUCCUGCACUUUCCUUUGACUCUUUUGGAGUAUUUUUCUUUAAUAUUUAGAAACUUGGGGCUGUAUAAUCUAAACCAAUCAAAAAAUAUAGAUACUCU